Molecule: ribosomal RNA, 495 nt
Filed under: uncultured bacterium
Lineage: Bacteria
Description: partial 16S ribosomal RNA
Rfam family: Bacterial small subunit ribosomal RNA
Source: RNAcentral
GACGAACGCUGGCGGCGUGCCUAAUACAUGCAAGUAGAACGCUGAGGGAGGAGCUUGCUUCUCUGGAUGAGUUGCGAACGGGUGAGUAACGCGUAGGUAACCUGCCUGGUAGCGGGGGAUAACUAUUGGAAACGAUAGCUAAUACCGCAUAAGAGUAGAUGUUGCAUGACAUUUGCUUAAAAGGUGCAAUUGCAUCACUACCAGAUGGACCUGCGUUGUAUUAGCUAGUUGGUGGGGUAACGGCUUACCAAGGCGACGAUACAUAGCCGACCUGAGAGGGUGAUCGGCCACACUGGGACUGAGACACGGCCCAGACUCCUACGGGAGGCAGCAGUAGGGAAUCUUCGGCAAUGGACGGAAGUCUGACCGAGCAACGCCGCGUGAGUGAAGAAGGUUUUCGGAUCGUAAAGCUCUGUUGUAAGAGAAGAACGAGUGUGAGAGUGGAAAGUUCACACUGUGACGGUAUCUUACCAGAAAGGGACGGCUAACUACGUG